GAAAUAGGUAAUUCGGGGGUAAGCUUCUAACUUAACCCCUUAGCGUUGAAAUACGUUGUUAUUUCU
Molecule: transfer RNA, 66 nt
Filed under: Ocypus graeseri
Lineage: Eukaryota; Metazoa; Arthropoda; Insecta; Coleoptera; Staphylinidae
Description: tRNA-Ser
Source: RNAcentral